UGGGGAAUAUUGGACAAUGGGCGAAAGCCUGAUCCAGCCAUGCCGCGUGUGUGAAGAAGGUUGUCGGAUUGUAAAGCACUUUAAGUUGGGAGGAAGGGCAGUAAGCGAAUACCUUGCUGUUUUGACGGUACCGACAGAAUAAGCAUCGGCUAACUCUGUGCCAGCAGCCGCGGUAAUACAGAGGGUGCGAGCGUUAAUCGGAUUUACUGGGCGUAAAGCGUGCGUAGGCGGCUAAUUGAGUCGGAUGUGAUAUCCCCGAGCUUAACUUGGGCAUUGCGUUCGAUACUGGUUAGCUAGAGUGUGGGCGGGGAUGGUAGAAUUCUAGGUGUAGCGGUGAAAAGCGUAGAGAUCUGGAGGAAUACCGAUGGCGAAGGCAGCCAUCUGGCCUAACACUGACGCUGAGGUACGAAAGAAUGGUGGGCAAACAGG
RNAcentral lists this ribosomal RNA (429 nucleotides) under Pseudomonadota bacterium. RNAcentral's name for it is "Proteobacteria bacterium partial 16S ribosomal RNA". It matches the Rfam family "Bacterial small subunit ribosomal RNA", at positions 355 to 776 of the family's 1533-position model. The record is from RNAcentral. Lineage: Bacteria; Pseudomonadati; Pseudomonadota.